UUCAUACAUUUGUUCUUACAUACUUUUAUUUCUAGCAUGCAUUUGAUAUUUGUUUUGCAUCACUCAAAGAUUGGUAACAUGGAUGUUACAUACAUUUGUUCUUACAUACUUUUAUUUCUAGCAUGCAUUUGAUAUUUGUUUUGCAUCACUCAAAGAUUGGUAACAUGGAUGUUUAGAGAUUUUCCUCAAGGGUUUAGUUUUAAUUAAGUUAGGACCAUACCUUUGCAUUCUAAAAAAAAAGUUAAGUGUUA
This 251-nucleotide long non-coding RNA is filed under the name Lathyrus oleraceus (garden pea). RNAcentral describes it as "Pisum sativum (pea) long non-coding RNA (PSAT_LNC035162)". The record is from RNAcentral. Lineage: Eukaryota; Viridiplantae; Streptophyta; Magnoliopsida; Fabales; Fabaceae.